AGAGUUUGAUCCUGGCUCAGAACGAACGCUGGCGGCAUGCCUAACACAUGCAAGUCGAACGAGACCUUCGGGUCUAGUGGCGCACGGGUGCGUAACGCGUGGGAAUCUGCCCUUGGGUUCGGAAUAACAGUUAGAAAUGACUGCUAAUACCGGAUGAUGACGUAAGUCCAAAGAUUUAUCGCCCAAGGAUGAGCCCGCGUAAGAUUAGCUUGUUGGUGAGGUAAAGGCUCACCAAGGCGACGAUCUUUAGCUGGUCUGAGAGGAUGAUCAGCCACACUGGGACUGAGACACGGCCCAGACUCCUACGGGAGGCAGCAGUGGGGAAUAUUGGACAAUGGGCGAAAGCCUGAUCCAGCAAUGCCGCGUGAGUGAUGAAGGCCUUAGGGUUGUAAAGCUCUUUUACCAGGGAUGAUAAUGACAGUACCUGGAGAAUAAGCUCCGGCUAACUCCGUGCCAGCAGCCGCGGUAAUACGGAGGGAGCUAGCGUUGUUCGGAAUUACUGGGCGUAAAGCGUGCGUAGGCGGUGACUCAAGUCAGAGGUGAAAGCCUGGAGCUCAACUCCAGAACUGCCUUUGAAACUAGGUCGCUAGAAUGUCGGAGAGGUGAGUGGAAUUCCGAGUGUAGAGGUGAAAUUCGUAGAUAUUCGGAAGAACACCAGUGGCGAAGGCGGCUCACUGGACGACUAUUGACGCUGAGGCACGAAAGCGUGGGGAGCAAACAGGAUUAGAUACCCUAGUAGUCC
RNAcentral lists this ribosomal RNA (742 nucleotides) under uncultured bacterium. RNAcentral describes it as "bacterial SSU rRNA". It matches the Rfam family "Bacterial small subunit ribosomal RNA", at positions 8 to 796 of the family's 1533-position model. The record is from RNAcentral.